This 1324-nucleotide ribosomal RNA is filed under the name Mammaliicoccus vitulinus. Its description in RNAcentral is "Staphylococcus vitulinus partial 23S ribosomal RNA". It matches the Rfam family "Bacterial large subunit ribosomal RNA", at positions 1 to 1321 of the family's 2925-position model. The record is from RNAcentral. Lineage: Bacteria; Bacillati; Bacillota; Bacilli; Caryophanales; Staphylococcaceae.
UUAGAUUAAGUUAUUAAGGGCGCACGGUGGAUGCCUUGGCACUAGAAGCCGAAGAAGGACGUUACUAACGACGAUAUGCUUUGGGGAGCUGUAAGUACGCUUUGAUCCAGAGAUUUCCGAAUGGGGAAACCCAGCAUGAGUUAUGUCAUGUUAUCCACAUAUGAAUACAUAGUAUGUGAGAAGGCACACCCGGAGAACUGAAACAUCUUAGUACCCGGAGGAAGAGAAAGAAAACUCGAUUCCCUGAGUAGCGGCGAGCGAAACGGGAAUAGCCCAAACCAACAGGCUUGCCUGUUGGGGUUGUAGGACACUCAACACGGAGUUACAAAGGAAAUAAUUAGACGAAUGGCUUUGGAAAAGCCAACCAUAGAAGGUAAAAGUCCUGUAGUCGAAAGUUAUUUCUCUCCUGAGUGGAUCCUGAGUACGGCGGAACACGUGAAAUUCCGUCGGAAUCUGGGAGGACCAUCUCCCAAGGCUAAAUACUCUCUAGUGACCGAUAGUGAACCAGUACCGUGAGGGAAAGGUGAAAAGCACCCCGGAAGGGGAGUGAAAUAGAACCUGAAACCGUGUGCUUACAAAUAGUCAGAGCCCGUUAAUGGGUGAUGGCGUGCCUUUUGUAGAAUGAACCGGCGAGUUACGAUUUGAUGCAAGGUUAAGCAGUAAAUGUGGAGCCGUAGCGAAAGCGAGUCUGAAUAGGGCGAAUGAGUAUCUGGUCGUAGACCCGAAACCAAGUGAUCUACCCAUGUCCAGGUUGAAGUUCAGGUAACACUGAAUGGAGGACCGAACCGACUUACGUUGAAAAGUGAGCGGAUGAGGUGUGGGUAGCGGAGAAAUUCCAAUCGAACUUGGAGAUAGCUGGUUCUCUCCGAAAUAGCUUUAGGGCUAGCCUCAAGUGGUGAUUAUUGGAGGUAGAGCACUGUUUGGACGAGGGGCCCCUCUAGGGUUACCGAAUUCAGACAAACUCCGAAUGCCAAAUAAUUCAACUUGGGAGUUAGACUAUGGGUGAUAAGGUCCAUAGUCGAAAGGGAAACAGCCCAGACCACCAGCUAAGGUCCCAAAAUAUAUGUUAAGUGGAAAAGGAUGUGGCGUUGCCCAGACAACUAGGAUGUUGGCUCAGAAGCAGCCAUCAUUUAAAGAGUGCGUAAUAGCUCACUAGUCGAGUGACACUGCGCCGAAAAUGUACCGGGGCUAAACAUAUUACCGAAGCUGUGGAUUAUCCGUAAGGAUAGUGGUAGGAGAGCGUUCUAAACGUGUCGAAGCAUGAUCGUAAGGACAUGUGGAAUGUUUAGAAGUGAGAAUGCCGGUGUGAGUAGCGAAAGAUGGG